AUGGGCACCUCUAAACCGAGCCCACAUAUUUCUACUGAGAUCAUCACCUGUGUCAAAAGACAAGGCACUGCAAUUAGCCCCGAGGCCUCCUGCUUGACUGAAAGCCCUCACCUGGAUGCGCCCAUUCUGCUCUCCCCCCUCCCCACCCUUGAGACUUCUGGUGUUUCAGCAGGAGCCCUGUUGCCCAGCUCAAGAUGGCCACACUGUGUGGCCACCAGAGUCUGGUCAGCUGGCAGUGCAGGCCUGCUGCCUGGUUUGGAGCCAGAAAGGGAUGUGACCCUGAUGUGUGGCACAGAUGCUGCUGCAGCUUGAGAAACUUCUUCCUGAAAAUGUCAUGAAAACUGAUGUGCCCCUAUGAAAAAUGUGGAUUUUGAUGAUUCAGCAUUUUCCCAUGGAAGAUAAAGCUCUUUUGUUCCUCUGACCAGCUCCCAGCAAACGGCUCAAGGGCAUGUGUUUCAUGCUUCCUCCCAGGAACCUGUUCCUGAAGCUGCUGAGAAACUUCCUAGGUUGUGGCCCACUCAGUAGGUGUCAUUGGAUCAGACAGUCUAAAAACUAGCAGAGUUCUUUGUUCUUACAGACCUGAAAACAUGAAAAAUAGUACUUAUGUUUUCUGUGGUAUCAGGUGUUCUCUGAUUGCAUGAGCUUCAGUGGGACCUGGGUGCUGCCUGAUUUUGGGAAGAGUUCUCAGUAGAAGUGGCUCUGCCCUGUCUCUGAGCUGAAGCUGUGGAAAGGAAGGAGCAAUGUAUCACAGGAGCCAAACUGGAGGCAUGAAAGGGACAGCAGGUUUCCACUUCUGAAGGAUACUUCUGAAAAUACUUGAGAUUUGGGUAUCUGAAACGGAAAAUACCUUUACUGAGAUGUGAGAGCUACAGGGACCUAACACCUUUGCAAGAGAUGCCUGUCUACACCAAGGACCAGGGAACUGAGACACAGAGGACAGUGUUUAAGGUAUGAAGCUGGAUUUCUGGUACAGGAGGAGCAGGCAGAACAGAAGGAGGUUGGUACUGGGACAGAUGUGUUAGCAGGCCACAGGUACUUCCAUGUUCCCAGAUGUCAUAUCCAACUUCAUGGUGACCUCUGGCCCAGAGUGAAAAUGAGGACUCAAAGGAUAUUUGAUCAUUUCCCUUUUCUGUAUGCAACUGUGAAGCCACCUUUCUUUUCAGGUGGAUCAAGAUUUUAUCCUUACUGCUAUUACCAUGCCUAACAUUCCUUUUGAGAAACCAUUGUAGUGAAAUUCUUUAAUGAGUCUGAAAUUCAGAGGUGGGUAGAGCAAAAUAAUAAUGCUAGCCAUAAUAAUAAAUAACAGCCCCAUUUUAAUUUGCA
Molecule: long non-coding RNA, 1323 nt
Filed under: Cyanistes caeruleus (blue tit)
Lineage: Eukaryota; Metazoa; Chordata; Aves; Passeriformes; Paridae
Description: lncRNA (ENSCCEG00000003231.1)
Source: RNAcentral